UACGAAGGGGGCUAGCGUUGUUCGGAAUUACUGGGCGUAAAGCGCACGUAGGCGGAUGUUUAAGUCGGGGGUGAAAUCCCAGGGCUCAACCCUGGAACUGCCUUCGAUACUGGACGUCUCGAGUCCGAGAGAGGUGAGUGGAAUUCCGAGUGUAGAGGUGAAAUUCGUAGAUAUUCGGAAGAACACCAGUGGCGAAGGCGGCUCACUGGCUCGGAACUGACGCUGAGGUGCGAAAGCGUGGGGAGCAAACAGG
RNAcentral lists this ribosomal RNA (253 nucleotides) under uncultured bacterium. Its description in RNAcentral is "partial 16S ribosomal RNA". It matches the Rfam family "Bacterial small subunit ribosomal RNA", at positions 524 to 776 of the family's 1533-position model. The record is from RNAcentral.